AUGAGUUGUCUUUGACCAGUGUCUGCCGGCAGAUCCCCCGCCGUUGUGCGGCCGACUCUCGGCGCCUGUGUCCUAUCGAUGUUGCACGGACGGCUCUUACUUUGCUGCCUUACCGGAAUGUGCUUGCAUGAUGAUCCCUGACCAACAGGAAGUCGUGUGUCGUGUAGAGUUGCCUCGCGGUGGAUGCCUGCUGGUGUUCUGCUGUGGCCAAAUUGCGUUGGUGGUGUUACCUCGUGGAGCCUGCACGCUAUGCGCCUGGAGCUUCCGAGGACACCUCGCUUCCCGCUCUUGGUCUCGGAUGUCGCUCAUGAUAGAGGCUCGUGGCCCUUUGUCGUCGCGUCCCUUUCGGAAGCUCACUCAAUAGCCGACAGCUGCUCUGUUUGUGGCCGUUGCCAUGCCUUGUAAGCGGCUGGCAUGUGCGACUCUCGGUGUCGGCUUGUCGACGAGGACGUGCUACCUGGUUGAUCCUGCCA
Molecule: unclassified non-coding RNA, 473 nt
Filed under: Brachypodium stacei
Lineage: Eukaryota; Viridiplantae; Streptophyta; Magnoliopsida; Poales; Poaceae
Description: partial external transcribed spacer
Source: RNAcentral